AUUGAACGCUGGCAGAAUGCUUUACACAUGCAAGUCGAACGGUAGAGGGGGCAACCCCUCGAGAGUGGCGAACGGGUGAGUAAUAUAUCGGAACGUGCCCAGUCGUGGGGGAUAACGUAGCGAAAGUUACGCUAAUACCGCAUAUGAUCUAAGGAUGAAAGCGGGGGAUCGCAAGACCUCGCGCGAUUGGAGCGGCCGAUAUCAGAUUAGGUAGUUGGGGGGGUAAAGGCUCACCAAGCCAACGAUCUGUAGCUGGUCUGAGAGGACGAACAGCCACACUGGAACUGAGACACGGUCCAGACUCCUACGGGAGGCAGCAGUGGGGAAUUUUGGACAAUGGACGCAAGUCUGAUCCAGCCAUUCCGCGUGCAGGAUGAAGGCCCUCGGGUUGUAAACUGCUUUUGUACGGAACGAAAAGGUCUCUCUUAAUACGGGGGGCUCAUGACGGUACCGUAAGAAUAAGCACCGGCUAACUACGUGCCAGCAGCCGCCGUAA
Molecule: ribosomal RNA, 496 nt
Filed under: uncultured bacterium
Lineage: Bacteria
Description: partial 16S ribosomal RNA
Rfam family: Bacterial small subunit ribosomal RNA
Source: RNAcentral